RNAcentral lists this ribosomal RNA (200 nucleotides) under Theileria sp. Its description in RNAcentral is "partial small subunit ribosomal RNA". It matches the Rfam family "Eukaryotic small subunit ribosomal RNA", at positions 536 to 771 of the family's 1831-position model. The record is from RNAcentral. Lineage: Eukaryota; Apicomplexa; Aconoidasida; Piroplasmida; Theileriidae.
CCAGAGUAUCAAUUGGCGGGCAAGUCUGGUGCCAGCAGCCGCGGUAAUUCCAGCUCCAAUAGCGUAUAUUAAAAUUGUUGCAGUUAAAAAGCUCGUAGUUGAAUUUCUGCUGCAUCGUCGCAUCUCUUGCUGAGUGCUUCAUUGCGGCUUAUUUCGGAUUGAUUUUUUCUUUCCGGAUGAUUACUUUGAGAAAAUUAGAG